RNAcentral lists this small RNA (582 nucleotides) under Pan troglodytes (chimpanzee). RNAcentral describes it as "processed transcript". The record is from RNAcentral. Lineage: Eukaryota; Metazoa; Chordata; Mammalia; Primates; Hominidae.
GAAACCGAAGGGAAAGCUCAGCUGCAGCGGCGACUUUCAGUUUCAUUUCCACGGACCCUCCUGCCUGGGCCGCAGCCGCCGCCGCGAUGCCCAGUAAGUUCAGCUGCCGGCAGCUCCGGGAGGCGGGCCAGUGUUUCGAGAGUUUCCUGGUCGUUCGGGGACUGGACAUGGAGACAGAUCGCGAGCGGCUGCGGACCAUUUAUAACCGCGACUUCAAGAUCAGAGACAGGGUUACCCAAGCUCUGUUAACCAAGCUGGAGUGCAGUGGCGUAAUCACAGCUAACUGCAGCCUUGACCUCCUGGGCUCAAGUGAUCCUUCUGCCUCAGCCUCCUGAGUAGCUGGGACUACAGCUUUGGGACCCCCGCCCCUGGCUUCUCCUCCAUGCUGUAUGGAAUGAAGAUUGCAAAUCUGGCCUACGUCACCAAGACUCGGGUCAGGUUCUUCAGACUCGACCGCUGGGCCGACGUGCGGUUCCCAGAAAAGAGGAGAAUGAAGCUGGGGUCAGAUAUCAGCAAACACCACAAGUCACUGCUAGCCAAGAUCUUUUAUGACAGGGCUGAGUAUCUUCAUGGGAAACAUGG